AAACCGUUCAGGGGUAAACCUGAGAAACCCAAAAGAUCGAAUGGGGAGAUUCAUCGUCAACGGCCGCUGGCUCCCGUUGGUUCGCGAUGCCCCGCAACGGACCCUCGCGGUUCGUGUAGCGUGCGGGCACGCAACCUUCGGCGAUUGUUUCGGCGUCGUAGUCGUGCACUUCUCCCCUAGUAGAACGUCGCGACCCGUUGUGUGUCGGUCUACGGCCCGAGCGGUAGCCUGUCGCUUCGCCUCGUGCGUUCGCGACAGACCCUCGGUCGCCCGGCCGGCUGCACGACGGUACUCGCACGGUAUCGGGCCGCAACCAAUCCAUUCUCGAAUGUGUGUGCGUCAGGCCCGCCGCAAGCUCGGUCAGUUUACCCGGAGGCACGGACCUGGUGCCGUCCCCGGGCCUGGCCAGCUGUUGGCAGGCGGUGUCCUCGGACUGGCCAAGCUUCGAAUUACCGGUCGGCGACGCUAUUGCUUUGGGUACUCUCAGGACCCGUCUUGAAACACGGACCAAGGAGUCUAACAUGUGCGCGAGUCAUUGGGACAAUUAAACCUAAAGGCGCAAUGAAAGUGAAGGUCGUCCUUCGACCGGUUGACCGAGGGAGGAUGGGCCGCGUAACUAUGCGGCCUCGCACUCCCGGGGCGUCUCGU
RNAcentral lists this ribosomal RNA (648 nucleotides) under Rediviva aurata. Its description in RNAcentral is "partial large subunit ribosomal RNA". It matches the Rfam family "Eukaryotic large subunit ribosomal RNA", at positions 402 to 774 of the family's 3401-position model. Lineage: Eukaryota; Metazoa; Arthropoda; Insecta; Hymenoptera; Melittidae. The record is from RNAcentral.